AUGAAGUCAGUGGAAGGAUUUAUGACUUGUAGAUCGAUUGAUAAUUUCUAAAAGAUUUAAUCAAAUUUUUUAAAUUAUUAGGUCCAUAAAAUGAGCUAGUUAUGGGGAUAACUAGAUCAUAGCCUCCCAUUAAGGUGAAUGAUAAUAGAUCUAUUAUUUUUGAUUGACAUUGUAGGCACCAUCCAUCUGGUGUUCUCUCUGAAUGAUGGAAUUAUCAUUUAUCAUAUGAUGAUUCUGUUGAACUAUCUAAUAGUGGUCAGGU
RNAcentral lists this long non-coding RNA (262 nucleotides) under Elaeis guineensis (African oil palm). Its description in RNAcentral is "long non-coding RNA (EGUI_LNC070550)". The record is from RNAcentral. Lineage: Eukaryota; Viridiplantae; Streptophyta; Magnoliopsida; Arecales; Arecaceae.